RNAcentral lists this ribosomal RNA (402 nucleotides) under bacterium. RNAcentral's name for it is "partial 16S ribosomal RNA". It matches the Rfam family "Bacterial small subunit ribosomal RNA", at positions 355 to 776 of the family's 1533-position model. The record is from RNAcentral.
UGGGGAAUUUUGCACAAUGGGGGAAACCCUGAUGCAGCGACGCCGCGUGAUUUAGAAGGCCUUCGGGUUGUAAAAAUCUUUUUUACGGGAUGAAAAUGACAGUACCGUAAGAAUAAGGUCCGGCUAAAUACGUGCCAGCAGCCGCGGUAAUACGUAUGGACCGAGCGUUGUCCGGAAUCAUUGGGCGUAAAGGGUACGUAGGCGGCCUAGUAAGUUAGAAGUGAAAUAAUAUAGCUCAACUAUAUAAAGCUUUUAAAACUGCUAGGCUUGAGAGAUGGAAGGGAAAGUGGAAUUCCUAGUGUAGCGGUGAAAUGCGCAGAUAUUAGGAAGAAUACCGGUGGCGAAGGCGACUUUCUGGUCAUCAUCUGACGCUGAGGUACGAAAGUGUGGGUAGCAAACAGG